ACGCUGGCGGCAGGCCUAACACAUGCAAGUCGAGCGGAAACGACACUAACAAUCCUUCGGGUGCGUUAAUGGGCGUCGAGCGGCGGACGGGUGAGUAAUGCCUAGGAAAUUGCCUUGAUGUGGGGGAUAACCAUUGGAAACGAUGGCUAAUACCGCAUAAUGCCUACGGGCCAAAGAGGGGGAUCUUCGGACCUCUCGCGUCAAGAUAUGCCUAGGUGGGAUUAGCUAGUUGGUGAGGUAAUGGCUCACCAAGGCGACGAUCCCUAGCUGGUCUGAGAGGAUGAUCAGCCACACUGGAACUGAGACACGGUCCAGACUCCUACGGGAGGCAGCAGUGGGGAAUAUUGCACAAUGGGCGAAAGCCUGAUGCAGCCAUGCCGCGUGUAUGAAGAAGGCCUUCGGGUUGUAAAGUACUUUCAGUUGUGAGGAAGGGGGURRYGUUAAUAGCGYUAUCUCUUGACGUUAGCAACAGAAGAAGCACCGGCUAACUCCGUGCCAGCAGCCGCGGUAAUACGGAGGGUGCGAGCGUUAAUCGGAAUUACUGGGCGUAAAGCGCAUGCAGGUGGUUCAUUAAGUCAGAUGUGAAAGCCCGGGGCUCAACCUCGGAACUGCAUUUGAAACUGGUGAACUAGAGUGCUGUAGAGGGGGGUAGAAUUUCAGGUGUAGCGGUGAAAUGCGUAGAGAUCUGAAGGAAUACCAGUGGCGAAGGCGGCCCCCUGGACA
RNAcentral lists this ribosomal RNA (723 nucleotides) under Vibrio sp. 14H10. RNAcentral's name for it is "bacterial SSU rRNA". It matches the Rfam family "Bacterial small subunit ribosomal RNA", at positions 33 to 735 of the family's 1533-position model. The record is from RNAcentral. Lineage: Bacteria; Pseudomonadati; Pseudomonadota; Gammaproteobacteria; Vibrionales; Vibrionaceae.